Small nucleolar RNA from Rattus norvegicus (Norway rat), 82 nucleotides. Ensembl annotates it as small nucleolar RNA SNORA17. The record is from Ensembl. Lineage: Eukaryota; Metazoa; Chordata; Mammalia; Rodentia; Muridae.
CCUGCCACUAUAGGUGAGUUGCAGGUGUGGCUGCUGUGUCACAUGUAUGUCACUAGGUGGUAGAGAGGACAAAGCUUGUAUU